CCCAGACACUCGAGAAGAAAGGGACCAAGUCUAUUUGGAGGAGACAAGCGGACAUGAGCCUUAUUGUUUUGAGCUUGUGAGUUGCCUGAAAUUUCUGGAACCGACCCAACAGACCCAUCUCUGAACGUGAUCCUCUGGUGUCUGCAGCUGGUCUCCUGCUGAUGUCGUCGGGAUCAGGAACUUCCAGAAGAAUGUGCCUUUCAAUGACUCUUUCCCCCUUAUUUGUUAUAUUAAUUAAAUAAAUCUCAAUUUA
Molecule: long non-coding RNA, 253 nt
Organism: Nothobranchius furzeri (turquoise killifish)
Lineage: Eukaryota; Metazoa; Chordata; Actinopteri; Cyprinodontiformes; Nothobranchiidae
Source: RefSeq, a predicted model, not a curated record